UUCUAGUCCGCGUUAGGGAUAGCAGCGGAUAGCCCACAGCAAAGUGAAGUGAAACAAAACUUUGCGAGGACUUGAAGCGAAUAGCCCGACCCUUU
This 95-nucleotide small RNA is filed under the name Flavobacterium weaverense. RNAcentral's name for it is "Flavo-1 RNA". The record is from RNAcentral. Lineage: Bacteria; Pseudomonadati; Bacteroidota; Flavobacteriia; Flavobacteriales; Flavobacteriaceae.